Molecule: ribosomal RNA, 253 nt
Filed under: uncultured bacterium
Lineage: Bacteria
Description: partial 16S ribosomal RNA
Rfam family: Bacterial small subunit ribosomal RNA
Source: RNAcentral
UACGGACGGGGCAAGCGUUGUUCGGAAUCAUUGGGCGUAAAGGGCGCGUAGGUGGUUCUGUAUGUCUAUCGUGAAAGCAUACAGCUCAACUGUAUUUUGUCGGUAGAAACUGCAGGACUUGAGGCUGGGAGGGGCUGGUGGAAUUCCCUGUGUAGCGGUGAAAUGCGUAGAGAUGGGGGAGAACACUCGUGGCGAAGGCGGCCAGCUAGACCAGUUCUGACACUGAGGCGCGCCAGCGUGGGGAGCAAACAGG